Molecule: long non-coding RNA, 3812 nt
Filed under: Lactuca sativa (garden lettuce)
Lineage: Eukaryota; Viridiplantae; Streptophyta; Magnoliopsida; Asterales; Asteraceae
Description: long non-coding RNA (LSAT_LNC004255)
Source: RNAcentral
ACUUGAGCUUUUCAUGAUUUUUCUAGGUCCUAAACACAUUAAGGUACUAGCCAAAAAUGAAGACUAAGCCUUAGGAAGAGUUUGAAGUGGUUUUGGCACUUAAUCUUGGAGUUUACGGCCUAAGGAGCAUCUUGGCCGUAAACUCCCUUCCAAAGUUGGUUUCUAAUUGUUUUGUGGGUCUAAAUCAUGAGUUUAAGGCUUCUAGGUUCUUGUUCUAAGGCUAAAGGAACACUAGGCACUCAUUUGUGCCCUUUACUUGGAGUUUACGGCCCAAGAGGUUGUUCCUUGGCCGUAAACUCCUCAAACUACUUGCUUUUGAUUUGUUUCUAGCCUCUAAUGAUCAUACACUAAGUCCUUAGUUAGAUGCCUAACACGGAAAUGGGACUAGGUGGCCUUUAGGCUUGAUUUUGGAGUUUACUCCCCAAGAACGUUCUUGGGCGGUAAACUCCCGGAUCUUGUGUUUUGGACAUGUAAACAAUGUUAUAAAGCAUAUAACAAGUAUUAAAACACAUUUAGGGAAGUAGACUCACAAUCUGGGAUGAAAACCCGAAGAUCCGUGAGAGAGUAUUUGGCUUUUCUCUAAAUGGAAAUCAAAUAAUGAACCAAUUUGGUUCAGAAUUCUAUUUAUAGUCCAGAGAUUUUUGGCAGAAAAUAUUUCUAUUCUCGGAAUGGAUUCUAAUGACCUAGAGUAAUGGAAUUACAGUGUUGCACAAAAUCCUAGUGCACCCACUCUCCUAAUAACUCCUUAGGUGUAAAACCCUAAAACUGCCAAACUUAUUCCAAAAGUUUGAAUUUUCACUGAAACUGCUCUACUUCCAUUGGAUUGAUGUGGUUUGAUUUGAAUGGAAAAUUUCGGGUUGUCACAGUUAAGGGGUAUGAACUCACCUGCAGUAUGUGACUGGAAUUGAACGGGCUGUUAUCGUACGGAAGGAUCAGACAAGUGCUUGGUGUCAAGUGAAGACUUAGACACACACAAUGAUCCUAAUUACAUAUGAAACAUAUGUAUAUAAAUAAUUAGUGAUUAUAACACUAAUUAUACAAGUAAUAACAUUUAAGCGCGAGGACAACACUUUUGGUCAAGUGCUAGGAGGCUAAUGGGUUGCAACAAAGAAGUGCAAUGCCCCUAAUGAAAGUUUAAGGUCAAAAGACCAUAUUCAUUAGAGUUUACGGCCCAGGGGAGUAAGCUCCUGGCCGUAAACUCUCAAACAAGUCAUGAAAUGGAGUUUAAAAGUACUACAACCUUAGAGGGGAAUUGUUUCAAGGCUAUACAAGUGUUUGGGCACCACAUUGACUCCUUUGGGGAGUUUACGGCCCAAAGACCCUUCUCCCUUGGAGUUUACGGCCGUAAACUCCCUUGGGAGGGUUCUUAUUGUCCUUUCAAGUCUCUAACAUUUCUAGGAACAAGUCUAGGCUUCAAUACUUGGAUCAAGGGAGGUUUAUGGCAUUAAAUGGAACCAUUUGAUGGAGUUUACGGCCAUAGAACUCUUUGGGCCGUAAACUCCCUCACACAUGAGGUUCUAAGAAUUUUAACUAGCCCAAAACUCAUCUAGGUACUUGCCCUAAAAGUCUCUUGGCCUAAGGAAGUGUCUAGGGUGUCCUUUGACCCCUUUAAAGGAGUUUACGGCCCAAGAAAUACUCUUGGCCGUAAACUCUUCAACACUUGAGCUUUUCAUGAUUUUUCUAGGUCCUAAACACAUUAAGGUACUAGCCAAAAAUGAAGACUAAGCCUUAGGAAGAGUUUGAAGUGGUUUUGGCACUUAAUCUUGGAGUUUACGGCCUAAGGAGCAUCUUGGCCGUAAACUCCCUUCCAAAGUUGGUUUCUAAUUGUUUUGUGGGUCUAAAUCAUGAGUUUAAGGCUUCUAGGUUCUUGUUCUAAGGCUAAAGGAACACUAGGCACUCAUUUGUGCCCUUUACUUGGAGUUUACGGCCCAAGAGGUUGUUCCUUGGCCGUAAACUCCUCAAACUACUUGCUUUUGAUUUGUUUCUAGCCUCUAAUGAUCAUACACUAAGUCCUUAGUUAGAUGCCUAACACGGAAAUGGGACUAGGUGGCCUUUAGGCUUGAUUUUGGAGUUUACUCCCCAAGAACGUUCUUGGGCGGUAAACUCCCGGAUCUUGUGUUUUGGACAUGUAAACAAUGUUAUAAAGCAUAUAACAAGUAUUAAAACACAUUUAGGGAAGUAGACUCACAAUCUGGGAUGAAAACCCGAAGAUCCGUGAGAGAGUAUUUGGCUUUUCUCUAAAUGGAAAUCAAAUAAUGAACCAAUUUGGUUCAGAAUUCUAUUUAUAGUCCAGAGAUUUUUGGCAGAAAAUAUUUCUAUUCUCGGAAUGGAUUCUAAUGACCUAGAGUAAUGGAAUUACAGUGUUGCACAAAAUCCUAGUGCACCCACUCUCCUAAUAACUCCUUAGGUGUAAAACCCUAAAACUGCCAAACUUAUUCCAAAAGUUUGAAUUUUCACUGAAACUGCUCUACUUCCAUUGGAUUGAUGUGGUUUGAUUUGAAUGGAAAAUUUCGGGUUGUCACAGUUAAGGGGUAUGAACUCACCUGCAGUAUGUGACUGGAAUUGAACGGGCUGUUAUCGUACGGAAGGAUCAGACAAGUGCUUGGUGUCAAGUGAAGACUUAGACACACACAAUGAUCCUAAUUACAUAUGAAACAUAUGUAUAUAAAUAAUUAGUGAUUAUAACACUAAUUAUACAAGUAAUAACAUUUAAGCGCGAGGACAACACUUUUGGUCAAGUGCUAGGAGGCUAAUGGGUUGCAACAAAGAAGUGCAAUGCCCCUAAUGAAAGUUUAAGGUCAAAAGACCAUAUUCAUUAGAGUUUACGGCCCAGGGGAGUAAGCUCCUGGCCGUAAACUCUCAAACAAGUCAUGAAAUGGAGUUUAAAAGUACUACAACCUUAGAGGGGAAUUGUUUCAAGGCUAUACAAGUGUUUGGGCACCACAUUGACUCCUUUGGGGAGUUUACGGCCCAAAGACCCUUCUCCCUUGGAGUUUACGGCCGUAAACUCCCUUGGGAGGGUUCUUAUUGUCCUUUCAAGUCUCUAACAUUUCUAGGAACAAGUCUAGGCUUCAAUACUUGGAUCAAGGGAGGUUUAUGGCAUUAAAUGGAACCAUUUGAUGGAGUUUACGGCCAUAGAACUCUUUGGGCCGUAAACUCCCUCACACAUGAGGUUCUAAGAAUUUUAACUAGCCCAAAACUCAUCUAGGUACUUGCCCUAAAAGUCUCUUGGCCUAAGGAAGUGUCUAGGGUGUCCUUUGACCCCUUUAAAGGAGUUUACGGCCCAAGAAAUACUCUUGGCCGUAAACUCUUCAACACUUGAGCUUUUCAUGAUUUUUCUAGGUCCUAAACACAUUAAGGUACUAGCCAAAAAUGAAGACUAAGCCUUAGGAAGAGUUUGAAGUGGUUUUGGCCCUAAAUCUUGGAGUUUACGGCCUAAGGAGCAUCUUGGCCGUAAACUCCCUUCCAAAGUGUGUUUCUAAAUGUUUUGUUGGUCUAAAACACUUGCUUAAGGCUUCUAGGUACUUGUUCUAAGGCUAAAGGAUCACUAGGCACUCAUUUGUGCCCUUUACUUGGAGUUUACGGCCCAAGAGGUGGUUCCUUGGCCGUAAACUCCUCAAACUACUUGCUUUUGAUUUGCUUCUAGCCUCUAAUGAUCAUACACUAAGUCCUUAGUUAGAUGCCUAACACGGAAAUGGGACUAGGUGGCCUUUAGGCUUGAUUUUGGAGUUUACUCCCCAAGAACGUUCUUGGGCGGUAAACUCCUGGAUCUAGUGUUUUGGACUUGUAAACAAUGUUAUAAAGCAUAUAAC